UGAUAAAGUUUAUAAAACAUAGUUGUGGACUUUCGGAGAUUUACAAUAUGGAAAAAAAAAACACCAAGAGACUUUCGGAGAUUUACAAUAUGGAGAAAAAAACAACAAGAGACUCUUGGAGGUUUACCAGAUGAAAACAAUAAAUACACCAAAUGACUCUGGGAGGUUUUCAAGGUGUAAAAAAAAAAAAGGCCAAGAGAUCCUUGAAGGUUUACAAGAUGGAA
Limulus polyphemus (Atlantic horseshoe crab) is the source of this 224-nucleotide long non-coding RNA. RefSeq lists it as uncharacterized. Lineage: Eukaryota; Metazoa; Arthropoda; Merostomata; Xiphosura; Limulidae. The record is from RefSeq and is a predicted model, not a curated record. The transcript has 2 exons.